CAACUAUGUUUUACUAAGACAUCCUAUACAAACAACUAGCCACUAUACAGAGUGCCUUACUUGCUUCCGUUUACAAGUGUUGUUUAACUUAUUUGCUGAACUGGAAAACUGACCAAUCUAUAAAUGAUAUUUGGUCCCACAAAUAAAUGGUUGCACUAGUUGAUUGCCUAAAAUACAGCAAACCAAUGCCACUGACACGGGGCAUCAGACUUGUAAAUUUCCUAAAUGCAAGGGUGAAGAACUCACAGGCAAGCAAUAUUAUUCCAAGCCUC
Molecule: long non-coding RNA, 272 nt
Filed under: Nicotiana benthamiana
Lineage: Eukaryota; Viridiplantae; Streptophyta; Magnoliopsida; Solanales; Solanaceae
Description: long non-coding RNA (NBEN_LNC001532)
Source: RNAcentral